AGUGUGGAUUUGACGCUUUUGAGGACAUGCUUGAACAGCAAAUACUUGAUGGUCAGCUCCUUGAGGGCUUCAUAGAGCACACUGAACAGUAAUCCUCCACCAGCCCCGGCGAAAACAUCUACUGGAUUGGCCAUUUCUUAUAGUAAAGUCGAAACUGAACCCUGAAUCAGUGGACAAUUCAAUUGUAUAUAGGGUGAUCAGAAAAUAAGGGGACACUCUGGGAUUUGGAAACCAAUAGAACCCAUCGAGGAACCACUGAUCAGGAUUCAGGAAGAAACUGAAAAGCAAAAAAGCAAUAAGAAAACCAGUUUGCUCUUAAAGUUUGGUGUUUGACCAGAUGAAACCUAAGAAUCAAUGAGGAAGAGACUUGAAGCAAAAAACUAGCAGAGAACCCCAGUUGUCUCGAUCUUACAG
Molecule: long non-coding RNA, 414 nt
Filed under: Fragaria vesca (wild strawberry)
Lineage: Eukaryota; Viridiplantae; Streptophyta; Magnoliopsida; Rosales; Rosaceae
Description: long non-coding RNA (FVES_LNC000224)
Source: RNAcentral